UUAAACGAGCUGGGGUGCCAUUUGGCUGAGAAAUACCCAUAUUCACCUGAUCUGGUUAAUACCAGCGGAGGGAGCUUGAACGGUCGACGU
Molecule: non-coding RNA, 90 nt
Filed under: Ligilactobacillus apodemi
Lineage: Bacteria; Bacillati; Bacillota; Bacilli; Lactobacillales; Lactobacillaceae
Also listed under: 1 other name
Description: Lactobacillus apodemi TPP sequence
Rfam family: TPP riboswitch aptamer (THI element)
About the family: Vitamin B(1) in its active form thiamin pyrophosphate (TPP) is an essential coenzyme that is synthesised by coupling of pyrimidine and thiazole moieties in bacteria. The previously detected thiamin-regulatory element, thi box was extended, resulting in a new, highly conserved RNA secondary structure, the THI element, which is widely distributed in eubacteria and also occurs in some archaea.
Source: RNAcentral